UACUCCUGAUUGACCGAUAGUGAACCAGUACCGUGAGGGAAAGGCGAAAAGAACCCCGGCGAGGGGAGUGAAAAAGAACCUGAAACCGUGUACGUACAAGCAGUAGGAGCCUCUUUAUGGGGUGACUGCGUACCUUUUGUAUAAUGGGUCAGCGACUUAUAUUCUGUAGCAAGGUUAACCGUAUAGGGGAGCCGUAGGGAAACCGAGUCUUAACUGGGCGAAUGAGUUGCAGGGUAUAGACCCGAAACCCGGUGAUCUAUCCAUGGGCAGGUUGAAGGUUGGGUAACACUAAC
RNAcentral lists this ribosomal RNA (293 nucleotides) under Proteus mirabilis. Its description in RNAcentral is "partial 23S ribosomal RNA". It matches the Rfam family "Bacterial large subunit ribosomal RNA", at positions 471 to 766 of the family's 2925-position model. The record is from RNAcentral. Lineage: Bacteria; Pseudomonadati; Pseudomonadota; Gammaproteobacteria; Enterobacterales; Morganellaceae.